Solea solea (common sole) is the source of this 3123-nucleotide RNA transcript. It is a transcript of the gene named fibroblast growth factor receptor-like 1, with no coding region annotated. The record is from RefSeq and is a predicted model, not a curated record. The transcript is spliced from 8 exons. NCBI's taxonomy places the organism in Eukaryota, Metazoa, Chordata, Actinopteri, Pleuronectiformes, Soleidae.
AGCGAGAGCGCUGCGCACUGGGGAAGUCACUCGAUGGACACAACGGACUACGACAGACUCAGCUCCACACACUCUCCCUCCUGGAACUUGUUGUCAGCGAAGUUGUCGGGGUUUUUUUUAUCAGGCGGUUGAAUUUGCUGUUCGGGCGCGUGUUGCUGGCGCGUGCGUGCGCGCGUGUGUGUGUGUGUUGUAGACGUUGGUGAGCAGCAGCAGCAGCAGUCGACCACUGUCACUUUUGAUUAAUGGACUCAACACGGACUUCAGCUAAACGCGUUUCUGCCAAGAGGCUCAGACGAGGUUGACUUCAUUCAUUCGCUGUCCAGAUUAAAGGAACAUGAAGUUGUCUUUGGACAGCAUGGACGUCCUGAAGAUUGUGCUGUUCGUCUUCGAGGCUGCCCUACUGACAGAUUGCGCGAGAGGACCUCCACGGGUGUCAGACAAGGUUGCUCACAGACAGUCGGCUCGCCUUGGGAGUGCCAUUAAGCUACCAUGUCCGGUGGAAGGAGAUCCUCCACCCCUAAUUAUGUGGACCAAAGAUGGGCGCAACAUCCACAGUGGCUGGAUCCGUUUCCGUAUCCUUCGCAUGGGCCUGAAGAUCAAGGAGGUGGAGGCAGAGGACACGGGCACUUACAUCUGCAAAGCUACCAACGGCUUUGGUAGUGUCAACGUCAACUUCACCCUCAUCGUCAUUGACGACGGCGGUUCUGAUAAAACUGGACCUGGAGCAGAGUCUGAGCUGGGCGUCGAUGGCUUGACAGACAAAUUUGUACGCCCUCGCUUCACUCAGCCUGCUAAGAUGAGGAAGAGGGUGAUCGCUCGUCCUGUCGGCAGCUCAGUGCGGCUCAAAUGCGCGGCCAGUGGAAACCCUCGGCCGGACAUCGCGUGGCUGAAGGACGACAGGCCGCUGACGGGGCGGGAGGUCGGCGAGGGGCGGCAGAAAAAGUGGACGCUGAGUCUGAGGAACCUGGCGCCGGAGAACAGCGGCAGAUACACCUGCAGGGUCUCCAAUCGGGCUGGAGAAAUCAAUGCCACGUACAAAGUUGAGGUCAUACAAAGGACGAACUCCAAGCCGGUUUUGACAGGCACCCACCCCGUCAACACGACAGUGGACUACGGGGGCACCACGUCGUUCCAGUGCAAAGUGAGGAGCGACGUUAAGCCCGUGAUUCAGUGGCUCAAGCGCUUGGAGACGAACGAGGAGAACCGCUACAACUCCACCAUCGAGGUGGGGGACCACCGGUUUACGGUGCUGCCCACGGGGGAGGUGUGGUCGAGGCCCGAUGGCUCCUACCUCAACAAGCUGCUUAUCACGCGCGCCAAAGAGGAGGACGCCGGCAUGUACAUCUGCUUAGGCGCCAACACCAUGGGCUACAGCUUCCGCAGCGCCUUCCUCACUGUGCUGCCAGACACAAAGCCACCCGUCCCACCCGUCUUCUCGCCAGCCUCCAGCUCCCUGCCCUGGCCUGUCAUCAUUGGCAUUCCCGCUGGAAUCGUGUUCAUCUUUGGCACAGUGCUGCUGUGGUUCUGCCAGAGCAGAAAACACUGUCCUCCUCCCAGCGCUCCCGCCACAGCAGCAGCAGCAGCAGCAGCAGCACAGGUUCUGCAGAGCUCUCACCGGCUGCCGUAUCGAGAGCGGGACAGAGGCUGCGUGGCUUCUUCUUCCUCGAGCCCGGAGAAAGACUGCGUGAGCUCCAUGAACUAUGAGGAGUACCUGGCACAGCAGCAGCUACUCCUCAACCAGGGAGGACCAACAAUACCCCCUAAAAUCUACCCCAAAAUCUACACAGACAUUCACACGCACACUCACUCUCAUGUGGACGGGAAAGUGCACCAGCAUCAACACAUCCAUUUUCAGUGUUAGCCUCAGUGCCGACUACUUUCCAUUAACUGCUCCGGUAUCGCAGAGGGAGUUUGCAUUGUAGACAGAACAGCAGUGUCAAAUACCUGGCAUUACUCCUAAUAAUAAUACUGAUAAUAAUAAUAAUGAUAAUACAAAGGGACUCUGAAACAGUGGCCAGUGACACACCUCGUGUUCUUGAAUCCUGUCUUCCAUAUAUGGUGCUUUUUCACCGUCAGAUCGUCUCACCACUAAAACCCAUUAAUCCUUGUUGUGCACAUGAGACGAAAAAAAAAAAGAGGACAAGGAGAUCUUGAGCUUGUGAGUUGAACUGCGGCUGUUAAGACCGACUGGAAGGUCUACCUCCUGAGCAGCUGAUUUUCUAUUUUAUUUUUUGCAUUUUUCUACUUGAGGUGUGGCAGAAAAUGGGAGGUUUUUACCCUUUCACGUCAUCGGCCGUUGGAGCGCAGGAGGUUUUUGUAAGUCCUGCGUGGCGAUGAAGAUAAAUGGUACUCGAGAUUUACAAAAGGGCUGGUUUUAUGCUCCUACUCAGGUAUUCCUUUUGUUAUUGUUUAAGAUGCAUAAUGUUUUGGAUUGCUGACCACUAUCCUUUAUGUUACCAUUCUCCACCCCUCACUUCUGCACCAUGUUAAAGGUGACAUGUUGAUAGCCCGUUUGUGGCGUGCGAAACACGCCUAAAGACUGCAUUGGGACAAAAAGACCUGUGACUGUCAUUUAGCCCCGUAGGUCGGCUCCCAUCACUCGUCAGUAGCAUGUUGAGAUGGACCAGCAGAGGAUGAGUCUGCUGCUUUGACCGCCGCAGUAUCCACCCCACAGUAUAUGAAGCUGUAGUCAUUCAUAAUCAAAGUGAAGUGUCUGCCGAGGGUGACACAGGGCAGCCAGCAGCGGGACAGAAGUUACCUGGGGAUGAAUGACUGAAUAGAUUCAGUGGAGACACAAGGGCAGCCUCACAGUCCUUUUUAGAUGAGUGAUGGCCCCUGCAAGACUACACCCAAAGACCAGCAUCUUUUCUCCAUUUAAGUGAAUCAACCCUCUCUGCAUUCAACUCUGAUCUAGGUAGGAUUUCCUUUCACCAUUUAGCAGCGUAUUGUCCUGCUCUGGGAGUGAUUUGACAGGAGCCUGCGUUUGCUCAGGAAAGAAGGGGAGCAUUGUAUUGGACAAGCUCCUGUUCUUUUGGAAACAUUGCUGAAUGAGGAUGAGCUGUGGCGAAGUGUAUCGCGUGUUUAAAACGACGCAGAACAAAACAUUUUAUACUUCAGCCGUGU